This 74-nucleotide transfer RNA is filed under the name Acidimicrobiaceae bacterium. RNAcentral describes it as "tRNA-Met". It matches the Rfam family "tRNA". From Rfam's summary of the family: Transfer RNA (tRNA) molecules are approximately 80 nucleotides in length. Lineage: Bacteria; Bacillati; Actinomycetota; Acidimicrobiia; Acidimicrobiales; Acidimicrobiaceae. The record is from RNAcentral.
GGCGGCGUAGCUCAGUAGGUAAGAGCACAAGGCUCAUAAUCGUGGGGUCGUCGGUUCGAGUCCGACCGCCGCUA